Molecule: ribosomal RNA, 762 nt
Filed under: Polycauliona phlogina
Lineage: Eukaryota; Fungi; Ascomycota; Lecanoromycetes; Teloschistales; Teloschistaceae
Description: LSU rRNA
Rfam family: Eukaryotic large subunit ribosomal RNA
Source: RNAcentral
CGGGCGAGGUGCCGGUCUAAGUCCCUUGGAACGGGGCGUCAUAGAGGGUGAGAAUCCCGUAUGCGACCGGCGGCCGAGCCCAUGUGAAACCCCUUCGACGAGUCGAGUUGUUUGGGAAUGCAGCUCAAAACGGGUGGUAAAUUUCAUCUAAAGCUAAAUACCGGCCAGAGACCGAUAGCGCACAAGUAGAGUGAUCGAAAGAUGAAAAGCACUUUGGAAAGAGAGUCAAAAAGUACGUGAAAUUGUUGAAAGGGAAGCGCUUGCGACCAGACCUGCCCGCGGGUGAUCAACCGUCCUUCUGGGCGGUGCACUCGCCCGCGAUCAGGCCAGCAUCGGUUCGGGCGGUCGGAUAAAGGCCUUGGGAACGUAGCUCCCCUCGGGGAGUGUUAUAGCCCUUGGUGCAAUGCGGCCUGCCCGGACCGAGGACCGCGCUUCGGCUAGGAUGCUGGCGUAAUGGUCGUAAGCGGCCCGUCUUGAAACACGGACCAAGGAGUCGACCAACUAUGCGAGUGUUUGGGCGUCAAACCCACACGCGCAAUGAAAGUGAACGGAGGUGGGAACCCCUCGCGGGGCGCACCAUCGACCGAUCCAGAUGUCUUCGGAUGGAUUUGAGUACGAGCAUAGCUGGUCGGACCCGAAAGAUGAUGAACUAUGCCUGAAUAGGGUGAAGCCAGAGGAAACUCUGGUGGAGGCUCGCAGCGGUUCUGACGUGCAAAUCGAUCGUCAAAUUUGGGCAUAGGGGCGAAAGACUAAUCGAAUCAU